UUGCCCCUACGGGGGGCAGCAGUGGGGGAUAUUGCACAAUGGGGGGAACCCUGAUGCAGCGACGCCGCGUGGGUGAAGAAGCGCCUCGGCGCGUAAAGCCCUGUCAGCAGGGAAGAAAAUGACGGUACCUGAAGAAGAAGCCCCGGCUAUCUACGUGCCAGCAGCCGCGGUAAUACGUAGGGGGCAAGCGUUAUCCGGAUUUACUGGGUUUAAAGGGGGCGCAGACGGCGAUGCAAGCCAGGAGUGAAAGCUCGGGGCC
This 259-nucleotide ribosomal RNA is filed under the name uncultured bacterium. RNAcentral describes it as "partial 16S ribosomal RNA". It matches the Rfam family "Bacterial small subunit ribosomal RNA", at positions 333 to 609 of the family's 1533-position model. The record is from RNAcentral.